RNAcentral lists this ribosomal RNA (429 nucleotides) under Chloroflexota bacterium. RNAcentral's name for it is "Chloroflexi bacterium partial 16S ribosomal RNA". It matches the Rfam family "Bacterial small subunit ribosomal RNA", at positions 355 to 776 of the family's 1533-position model. The record is from RNAcentral. Lineage: Bacteria; Bacillati; Chloroflexota.
UGGGGAAUAUUGCACAAUGGGCGCAAGCCUGAUGCAGCCAUGCCGCGUGUAUGAAGAAGGCCUUCGGGUUGUAAAGUACUUUCAGCGGGGAGGAAGGGAGUAAAGUUAAUACCUUUGCUCAUUGACGUUACCCGCAGAAGAAGCACCGGCUAACUCCGUGCCAGCAGCCGCGGUAAUACGGAGGGUGCAAGCGUUAAUCGGAAUUACUGGGCGUAAAGCGCACGCAGGCGGUUGAUUGAGUCAGAGGUGAAAUCCCCGGGCUUAACCCGGGAAUUGCAUCUGAUACUGGUCAGCUAGAGUCUUGUAGAGGGGGGUAGAAUUCCAUGUGUAGCGGUGAAAUGCGUAGAGAUGUGGAGGAAUACCGGUGGCGAAGGCGGCCCCCUGGACAAAGACUGACGCUCAGGUGCGAAAGCGUGGGGAGCAAACAGG